RNAcentral lists this ribosomal RNA (814 nucleotides) under uncultured bacterium. Its description in RNAcentral is "bacterial SSU rRNA". It matches the Rfam family "Bacterial small subunit ribosomal RNA", at positions 636 to 1449 of the family's 1533-position model. The record is from RNAcentral.
UNUGACUUGAGUGCAGAAGGGGAGAGUGGAAUUCCAUGUGUAGCGGUGAAAUGCGUAGAUAUAUGGAGGAACACCAGUGGCGAAAGCGGCUCUCUGGUCUGUCACUGACGCUGAGGCUCGAAAGCGUGGGUAGCGAACAGGAUUAGAUACCCUGGUAGUNCACGCCGUAAACGAUGAGUGCUAGGUGUUAGGCCCUUUCCGGGGCUUAGUGCCGGAGCUAACGCAAUAAGCACUCCGCCUGGGGAGUACGACCGCAAGGUUGAAACUCAAAGGAAUUGACGGGGGCCCGCACAAGCGGUGGAGCAUGUGGUUUAAUUCGAAGCAACGCGAAGAACCUUACCAGGUCUUGACAUCCCGAUGCUAUUCUUAGAGAUAGGAAGUUACUUCGGUACAUCGGAGACAGGUGGUGCAUGGUUGUCGUCAGCUCGUGUCGUGAGAUGUUGGGUUAAGUCCCGCAACGAGCGCAACCCUUAUUGUUAGUUGCCAUCAUUAAGUUGGGCACUCUAGCGAGACUGCCGGUAAUAAACCGGAGGAAGGUGGGGAUGACGUCAAAUCAUCAUGCCCCUUAUGACCUGGGCUACACACGUGCUACAAUGGUCGGUACAACGAGUUGCGAGCCGGUGACGGCAAGCUAAUCUCUGAAAGCCGAUCUCAGUUCGGAUUGGAGGCUGCAACUCGCCUCCAUGAAGUCGGAAUCGCUAGUAAUCGCGGAUCAGCACGCCGCGGUGAAUACGUUCCCGGGCCUUGUACACACCGCCCGUCACACCACGAGAGUUUGUAACACCCGAAGUCGGUGAGGUAACCUUUUAGGGGC